RNAcentral lists this small nuclear RNA (261 nucleotides) under Urocitellus parryii (Arctic ground squirrel). RNAcentral describes it as "7SK RNA (ENSUPAG00010019966.1)". It matches the Rfam family "7SK RNA". Rfam says of the family: 7SK was discovered as an abundant small nuclear RNA in the mid-70s but a possible function has only recently been suggested. Two independent studies have found that 7SK RNA binds the CDK9/cyclin T complex (known as elongation factor P-TEFb). The record is from RNAcentral. Lineage: Eukaryota; Metazoa; Chordata; Mammalia; Rodentia; Sciuridae.
AGAGGCAAAAAAAUAUAAAACAAAAAUCAACCUUCAACUUUCUCCCUCACCGCUCCAUGUGCGUCCCUCCCGAAGCUGAGCGCUCGGUAGAAGAGGACAAUCUUCCCCAAUAGAGGAGGACCGUUCUUAGGUCAAGGGUAUUCGAGUAGCUGCGCUCCCCUGCUAGAACCUCCAAACAAGCUCUCAAAAAUCAACAUUCAAAAUUUGCUAACAUUCCAGAUUUAAAAAUGUGGAUGUGUAACCGAUGUGAUUCUGCAAUCU